GGAAACAGAUGCUAAUACCGCAUAAGACCACACCGUGGCAUCACGGAGAGGUCAAAGGAGCAAUCCGCUGAGAGAGGGGCUCGCGUCCCAUUAGAUAGAUGGCGGGGUAACGGCCCACCAUGUCGACGAUGGGUAGCCGAGCUGAGAGGCUGAUCGGCCACACUGGAACUGAGACACGGUCCAGACUCCUACGGGAGGCAGCAGUGGGGAAUAUUGGGCAAUGGGCGCAAGCCUGACCCAGCAACGCCGCGUGAGGGAAGAAGGCUUUCGGGUUGUAAACCUCUGUCCUUGGUGACGAAACAAAUGACGGUAGCCAAGGAGGAAGCCCCGGCUAACUACGUGCCAGCAGCCGCGGUAAUACGUAGGGGGCGAGCGUUGUCCGGAAUUACUGGGCGUAAAGGGUGCGUAGGUGGCCUUUUAAGUUGGAUGUGAAAUACCCGGGCUUAACUUGGGGGGUGCAUCUAAUACUGGAGGGCUAGAGUGCAGGAGAGGGAAGCGGAAUUCCUAGUGUAGCGGUGAAAUGCGUAGAUAUUAGGAAGAACACCGGUGGCGAAGGCGGCUUACUGGACAGAGACUGACGCUGAGGCGCGAAAGCGUGGGGAGCGAACAGGAUUAGAUACCCUGGUAGUCCACGCCGUAAACGAUGAGUAUUAGGUGUUGCCGAGA
RNAcentral lists this ribosomal RNA (666 nucleotides) under uncultured bacterium. RNAcentral's name for it is "bacterial SSU rRNA". It matches the Rfam family "Bacterial small subunit ribosomal RNA", at positions 152 to 831 of the family's 1533-position model. The record is from RNAcentral.